AUGGUGCAGAAUCCCUCUUCUCCAUUUUUGCCUCUAGGAGGUGCUGAAGAGUUUCUCCAAGACCAUCUUACCCAGGUGGACAUGGAGAAGGAACUUCAGACCUUAUUUGGCCAAAAUUUCAGACCACACCAAAGGGAACCUAGACGCAAAGGACCAGCGCUUCUGCCACAGGUGGUUAGGAUGGAGGUGGUGAAGCAUCCACCUUUUGUUCUUCCACAAUUGCUUAGUAUUUGCCAGGUCCUCUGCUCUUCUUCCUCUUGUUUUGGAGUUGAUGUCACCUAACUAAAGAGUCUGCCUUGAGGACUUCUUCUACCCUUCCUGUCUCCAGCCUUGGUUUUGGACACCGUAGUUCCAUAAAACUAUAUCCACCACCUCUUGCCCAAACUCAAUCCUGUGGCAUGUUGUCUGUGCUUGUGUCUUGUCCUAGCUCAUGGGGCUCUUCCUUCCCUUUCCAUUCCAGACAGUGAUUAAAGCAAAGGCAUGGAAGGAGGAGACUAGCUGAGGUCCAUGGGGGCAGGAAUGAAGAUGUGAGUUAGUUAGCAAGAAACUGCGGUCUACACACCCACCCCUUUCUCCCCCCAAAGUCCUUCCACUCAUGAAACUGUCUGUUUUGAAAUAAGAACUGCAAAUAUGAUUGUGAAAAAUUGUUGUCACUUAAUUACAUUGUUUGAUGGAGAGAUGUUUUUAUGUCCAGAACUCAAUUGGUGAAAAAAAGUUUAAAGAUGCAAAAACUUAUUUUCCACAAUGAAAUAAACUGGUCCUUUUCAAACA
This 771-nucleotide long non-coding RNA is filed under the name Pogona vitticeps (central bearded dragon). RNAcentral's name for it is "lncRNA (ENSPVIG00000005886.1)". Lineage: Eukaryota; Metazoa; Chordata; Lepidosauria; Squamata; Agamidae. The record is from RNAcentral.